RNAcentral lists this ribosomal RNA (465 nucleotides) under Vreelandella stevensii. RNAcentral describes it as "partial 16S ribosomal RNA". It matches the Rfam family "Bacterial small subunit ribosomal RNA", at positions 338 to 795 of the family's 1533-position model. Lineage: Bacteria; Pseudomonadati; Pseudomonadota; Gammaproteobacteria; Oceanospirillales; Halomonadaceae. The record is from RNAcentral.
CCUACGGGGGGCAGCAGUGGGGAAUAUUGGACAAUGGGGGCAACCCUGAUCCAGCCAUGCCGCGUGUGUGAAGAAGGCCCUCGGGUUGUAAAGCACUUUCAGUGAGGAAGAACGCCUGGUGGUUAAUACCCAUCAGGAAAGACAUCACUCACAGAAGAAGCACCGGCUAACUCCGUGCCAGCAGCCGCGGUAAUACGGAGGGUGCGAGCGUUAAUCGGAAUUACUGGGCGUAAAGCGCGCGUAGGUGGCUUGAUAAGCCGGUUGUGAAAGCCCCGGGCUCAACCUGGGAACGGCAUCCGGAACUGUCAAGCUAGAGUGCAGGAGAGGAAGGUAGAAUUCCCGGUGUAGCGGUGAAAUGCGUAGAGAUCGGGAGGAAUACCAGUGGCGAAGGCGGCCUUCUGGACUGACACUGACACUGAGGUGCGAAAGCGUGGGUAGCACACAGGAUUAGAUACCCCAGUAGUC